Pyrgilauda ruficollis (rufous-necked snowfinch) is the source of this 377-nucleotide long non-coding RNA. RefSeq lists it as uncharacterized. The transcript is spliced from 3 exons. NCBI's taxonomy places the organism in Eukaryota, Metazoa, Chordata, Aves, Passeriformes, Passeridae. The record is from RefSeq and is a predicted model, not a curated record.
GUCUCUGUGACCUUGUACAGGAUGGCACACACAGCUACUGGAAGAGUUUAUAUUCUACAAGCAUAGAACUCCGUGGGGCAAACUGAACCUCUCAUCAAAUACCAGCAACUUCCCACCACCUCUGUCCAAAUUGCUAUGACUGCAUGGGUUAAAGCUGCUCUCCGUAGGGUUUGGGACAAGAUAAUCAAGUUUUUAUGUUUGUGGACAAAUGAAUAUCCGCUCCUCUCCGAAUAUCUGCUCUGACGCCUGAUGGAGAGCUGUAGAAGGCGGACAAUUUUUCAGCACGGUGUCUUAUUUCCUGCUGAGUUAUUUUGUCUGUCCAAGGAGCUCUUAGAGAAGAAAACAGAAAAAUGGAUUUAUGUUGCUGUACCUGAUAA